GUGCUCACUUCGGCAGCACUUAUACUAAAACUGGAACGACCCAGAGGAGACGAGCAUGCCCCGCCACGAGGAUGACACGUAAAUGUUAUCUGGAUUCUGGUUUCUU
Molecule: small nuclear RNA, 106 nt
Organism: Echinops telfairi (small Madagascar hedgehog)
Lineage: Eukaryota; Metazoa; Chordata; Mammalia; Afrosoricida; Tenrecidae
Source: Ensembl